CAUUAUGAAGAGCCCAUCUUCAAAGGAAAAGCAAAGAGGUAAUUUUACAGACUUCUGGAUAUGCAGGAAGGAAAACAACCAUUACUUUCAGUACAAAAGGUGACUUGUAAAUCCACACUGGGACUUUCUUUUCCCUCUUGGAGGUUUCUGCUGGCUCUAAUGGUACAAUUAAGUACCUAAGUUAAGCAGCUAAAAGUUAUCUUCUGAAAUAGAUCAUGAAAAAUAAAUAAAAAUAUUGUGUUUUCCCUCU
Molecule: non-coding RNA, 250 nt
Organism: Lonchura striata (white-rumped munia)
Lineage: Eukaryota; Metazoa; Chordata; Aves; Passeriformes; Estrildidae
Source: RefSeq, a predicted model, not a curated record